RNAcentral lists this ribosomal RNA (274 nucleotides) under uncultured bacterium. RNAcentral describes it as "partial 16S ribosomal RNA". It matches the Rfam family "Bacterial small subunit ribosomal RNA", at positions 523 to 796 of the family's 1533-position model. The record is from RNAcentral.
AUACGGAGGGUGCGAGCGUUAAUCGGAAUUACUGGGCGUAAAGCGUACGUAGGGGGUUGGUUAAGUUAGAUGUGAAAGCCCCGGGCUUAACCUGGGAACUGCAUUUAAAACUGGCGAACUAGAGUUGAGUAGAGGGGUGUGGAAUUUCAGGUGUAGCGGUGAAAUGCGUAGAGAUCUGAAGGAACACCAGUGGCGAAGGCGACUCCCUGGACUCGAACUGACGCUGAGGUACGAAAGCGUGGGGAGCAAACGGAAUUAGAAACCCUAGUAGUCC